RNAcentral lists this ribosomal RNA (427 nucleotides) under uncultured bacterium. Its description in RNAcentral is "bacterial SSU rRNA". It matches the Rfam family "Bacterial small subunit ribosomal RNA", at positions 355 to 775 of the family's 1533-position model. The record is from RNAcentral.
UCGAGAAUUUUUCUCAAUGGGGGAAACCCUGAAGGAGCGACGCCGCGUGGAGGAUGAAGGUCUUCGGGUUGUAAACUCCUGUCAUUUGGGAACAAGGUGCACGUGUUUACUGCACGUGUAUUGAUAGUACCAGAAGAGGAAGAGACGGCUAACUCUGUGCCAGCAGCCGCGGUAAUACAGAGGUCUCAAGCGUUGUUCGGAUUCAUUGGGCGUAAAGGGUGCGUAGGUGGCGCCAUAAGUCAGGUGUGAAAUCUCGGGGCUUAACUCCGAAACUGCAUUUGAUACUGUGGUGCUUGAGGACUGGAGAGGAGACUGGAAUUUACGGUGUAGCAGUGAAAUGCGUAGAGAUCGUAAGGAAGACCAGUGGCGAAGGCGGGUCUCUGGACAGUUCCUGACACUGAGGCACGAAGGCCAGGGGAGCAAACGG